AGGAAGUCGGAAAGCAGAUUUAAAUCACGUUUGAGCCAUUGCUUCUGUUUGCCGGUACUGUGAGAAAACGUCGUUACCGGAGAGGUCUCGAUGCUAAAACAAACUCUGGAGCUGCGUUUUGCCGUUAAUGAAGAGACCUGGAUACUAAAACAAACGCUGGAGCUGCUUUUUUGUCGAACAGGAGUGAGACUGAACGCCGAACACACAUGCGGCGCGAAGGUGUCACCAUGUCGUCCACGAUUGCAGAGAGUCUUCAUACAAUGAAGAAGUUCUUUGAAACCAAGACAGAGGCCUGCAGGGCUCAGACUUCAAUCAUUAAAUCACACAGAGAGGAGACAGACAUGAAGACAUUUCCAGAAGGUCUUCAGCUGCUGUCGUCUUCUCCUCCUGCAGAGACAAGAACACGUAUAUUUUUCCUUUUCUAAACUCUCUUUAUUCAUUUUUGAUACUCAAUUACAAUGAUUUAAACUAAACUUUGUACAACACAGUCAAUAUAACAUUUUAGUGUGUUUUCUAAAGUACAUAAAAAUAACAAAAUAAGAACCUACUGUAAUUAUUACAUAGUUAUCUCUCAAAUUUCAAAGCUAUGAGAGACAGUUAUUUUACGUUUGCUAAUAUUUAUUUUCAGAAAUUAUUUUUCAUGGCAUGUGGCAUUUUCUUGACAACAUACUAUUCUUUUUUUUAAUUUAUUUAUUUUUUUACAUUUUUAUGCCUUAAUACUGUGACGUGGCUUAAGACAAUCUUUGUUGUUGACACACAUUCACUUACAUCUCUACACAGUGUGGGUUAGGUAAGAUUUUGGUUUUUGUUAUUUCAAACUGCAAUAUCAGUACUCAAAUUGAAUCUAUUACUGUGUACAUAGUCUUGUUUAUAAUUUUUACACAUUGUUAUAUAUUAUUUUAAAUCUUGUUAAUAUCAUGCCUUUUCCUUUUUUUGCUGCUGCAACACUGAAUUUCCCCGCUGUGGGACUACUAAAACUUAAAUAAAUACUUCUGAACACUGAA
Molecule: long non-coding RNA, 1004 nt
Organism: Lates calcarifer (barramundi perch)
Lineage: Eukaryota; Metazoa; Chordata; Actinopteri; Centropomidae
Exons: 4
Source: RefSeq, a predicted model, not a curated record